AGAGUCACGCUGUUGGAAGCAACAACCUCUCCUUUUCCUCUCUGCCAUCUGCUUGGCAGCUGCAAAGCAACAACUGUGUGUGAACGCAUCUCCGUCCGUGUUGGCCAGGCUGGUGCUCAGAUUGGCAGUGUCGGCUGGGAGCUCUAUUGCCUGGAACACGGCAUUCAGCCUGAUGGGUAGGUGCCAAGUGACAAGACCACUGGGGGAGGAGAUGACUCCUUCAACACCUUCUUCGGUGGAGGUUCUGGCAAGCAUGUGCCCAGGACAGUGUUUGUAGAGCUGGAAUCCACCGUCACUGAUGAAGUUCACACUGGCACCUACCACCAGCUCUUCCACCCUGAGCAGCUCGUCACAG
This 355-nucleotide long non-coding RNA is filed under the name Lynx pardinus (Iberian lynx). Lineage: Eukaryota; Metazoa; Chordata; Mammalia; Carnivora; Felidae. The record is from RNAcentral.